Vidua chalybeata is the source of this 1928-nucleotide long non-coding RNA. RefSeq lists it as uncharacterized. The transcript has 3 exons. The record is from RefSeq and is a predicted model, not a curated record. NCBI's taxonomy places the organism in Eukaryota, Metazoa, Chordata, Aves, Passeriformes, Viduidae.
GAAACGAUACAUACAGCACAAGCCACUGAAUUCUCCUCAAUGGGAGGAGAGAAGCAAAUAUCUUCCAGCAUAAAGGUCCAUAUGAUGUGAACAGAGAGGAUUUCAACCUUCAGUGAGCCCUGAAGUGAAAGCCUUUGGGAGUGCUCAGCAACUUGGACCCACGUGCCAAUAAUUGUGCCAGCUGCACAUAGACGUUCAUUUCUUAUUCUCACGGGGAGAAACACAUUAAAAAAGUACCAAAUUCCCAGAGGCACUAAACUCAGGGAAUUUCUCCCAUCCAGACAGGUCUCUAUGAAGGGCUGCCCUGCAGUUGCUUGCAGCAUGGUAGCACUCAUGGGACAUGAUAGGUGAAUUGGACUGGUGGAAUCAAAUGUCUUGUACUACCCACACCAUUCAUGAGGCACUGUUCAUCUCCAGCACUUCUCCCAGGACUGAUUUUCAAGUGGCCCUGAGCCAUGCCAGAGCCCCUGGCAACCACUUAGCAGCAGAGGAGUCUAUGUCCUAGGGUUGGCACUACCAGUUGCAGGUUGAGUUUGUUAGUUUUCAGUUUAAAAUCUUCAGGGUUACUGUAGGUUCCACAAAAGCUCAGUCCUUACUACUAAUUUAUCUCUGUCUGCAAUUUAAAAGGGAGUGGAGACAUGCACAGGGCUUUAGGGAAAGGCUCUCUGGUGAGGCUUUUGCAGACCCGCCUUUUGCGUGUCAACGUUAAACUGCUGUUAUUUGUCUUCUGAGUCUAUGAUAAGCCAAUAAUAUUCCUGAAAUCAUAUAUUGUUUUCUAUAAACCUCUCAGAAGGUUUUUAGCUAUAGAUCCUGAGAAAUAAGCGUCUGUCAAAUUGCUGUGACAGGACUGAAGCAGUUAACUAUGGAUCCUUAUUUAACUGUACUGUGACAGAAUAAUGCAUAUCAGAUUCUCUGUGGAUCUACCUGCAGCUCAAAGAGCUGCUGAAAAUCAGCCAGUUCUCCACUGUGCUCCUCUGAGCCUCCUCUGACAGAGCAAAAGAGCACCAGAGUACCACUGCAGGCCUCUGACUUGCGUGCCAAAGCCAAGAUGAUGUCUCCUCUGGCAUCAAAUCACAAGACUUCAGCAGCUUCAGUACCUGAUUUAUCCCCAGUAAAGAGCUCGUGAUGGAAUGAUACAAAAGGGUCUACAGAGGAGUUAUAGCUCAACUCUUGCUUGAGGAGAGAGGUGUGAAGGUGGCAUGAUGACCUCAGGGAGGAUUUUGCAGAGAGGAGCUGGGAUGUCCAGGAAGAGCCAGCACACAUCACUGGCUGCAAGGCUAUGACUUGGAGAGAAAGCAAGGCUGGCAAGAAGAAGUCCAUGCUGGUCACCCAGAUUUUUCCUUAGAGAGAAUAAAACUGCUGUAACCAGGUCCCACUCCAUGCCAGGACUAAGUGUUGGUAAAAGAAGGCAACUCCUAUGCCAACUUCUACUGCCUUAUCCUUUUGGAAGGAGCCAGUCUUGUGAGCCAUAAAACUUCUCCAGCAGGCAGAAGUGCUGCAUGGGUGCUGUGAGUGAGAACACCUCCAUGGGAUGGGGAUCAAUAGAGAAUGUGAUGGGGAUGUAGCAGCAGCAAGUUUCAGAGGAGUAGUGCCAGUGGCACUAGUGUUGCAGGACUGGUUAGCAGGUGAGGAAGAGCAGCAGAGCAUUGGUUUGGUGGUGGCAAAUGUCUGAGUUGAACUGAAGCAACGAAGAAGAAGCCAUGGAGGACAUAUUUAGAAAUAGUGCUGAGAGUAUGGGUCUUGUAUCUAGAAACAGAGAUGUGAAUGCUUUAGCCAAAUGUAGUAAUAGAACAUGUAUUUCAUGCCCUUUGAGAAAGAGAUUCUAAUUCUCUAAGAAGAGGCACUGAGCUGUGAGUGAUACAUAAGCAUAUCUAACUGCUGCCUUACUGAGCUGAAAGAAGCAUUUCAGGACUACUGCCAAUACAGGU